GAUGAACGCUAGCGACAGGCUUAACACAUGCAAGUCGAACGGGGGCGUGAUGUGCGAGAGGGAUAGUUUACUAGACUUCAAACUUUUCACGCCCUAGUGGCGGACGGGUGAGUAACGCGUGGGUAACCUGCCAUAUACAGGGGGAUAACACUUAGAAAUAGGUGCUAAUACCGCAUAAGCGCACAGGGGCGCAUGCCCCGGUGUGAAAAACUCCGGUGGUAUAUGAUGGACCCGCGUCUGAUUAGCCAGUUGGCAGGGUAACGGCCUACCAAAGCGACGAUCAGUAGCCGGCCUGAGAGGGCGGACGGCCACAUUGGGACUGAGACACGGCCCAA
This 335-nucleotide ribosomal RNA is filed under the name uncultured bacterium. Its description in RNAcentral is "bacterial SSU rRNA". It matches the Rfam family "Bacterial small subunit ribosomal RNA", at positions 28 to 334 of the family's 1533-position model. The record is from RNAcentral.